This 914-nucleotide ribosomal RNA is filed under the name uncultured bacterium. RNAcentral's name for it is "bacterial SSU rRNA". It matches the Rfam family "Bacterial small subunit ribosomal RNA", at positions 609 to 1512 of the family's 1533-position model. The record is from RNAcentral.
UUAACUUCGAAACUGCAUUCGAUACUGCCGUGCUUGAGGACUGGAGAGGAGACUGGAAUUUACGGUGUAGCGGUGAAAUGCGUAGAUAUCGUAAGGAAGACCAGUGGCGAAGGCGGGUCUCUGGACAGUUCCUGACGCUGAGGCACGAAGGCCAGGGGAGCAAACGGGAUUAGAUACCCCGGUAGUCCUGGCAAUAAACGGUGCACGUUUGGUGUGGGAGGAUUCGACCCCUUCUGCGCCGGAGCUAACGCGUUAAACGUGCCGCCUGGGGAGUACGGUCGCAAGAUUAAAACUCAAAGAAAUUGACGGGGGCCCGCACAAGCGGUGGAGUAUGUGGCUUAAUUCGAUGCAACGCGAAGAACCUUACCUGGCCUUGACAUGCAUCUCUAAGCUGGUGAAAGCCAGUGAGUCCCGAAAGGGACAAUUUGCACAGGUGCUGCAUGGCUGUCGUCAGCUCGUGUCGUGAGAUGUUGGGUUAAGUCCCGCAACGAGCGCAACCCCUGUGAACUGUUGCCACCGGCCCGUGAGGGUCGAGCACUCUGUUCAGACUGCCCUGUGAAACGGGGAGGAAGGUGGGGACGACGUCAAGUCAGUAUGGCCCUUACGGCCAGGGCUGCACACGUACUACAAUGCCCAGUACAGAACGAUCCGAGACCGCGAGGUGGAGGAAAUCACUAAAACUGGGCCCAGUUCGGAUUGAAGUCUGCAACUCGACUUCAUGAAGCCGGAAUCGCUAGUAAUGGCGCAUCAGCUACGGCGCCGUGAAUACGUUCCCGGGCCUUGUACACACCGCCCGUCACAUCAUGGAAGUUGCUUGUAGCCGAAGCCGGCGCGCUAACCCGCAAGGGAGGCAGCCUUCUACGCUAUGAGCAGUAACUGGGAUGAAGUCGUAACAAGGUAGCCGUAGGGGAACC